ACUAAGCGUACACGGUGGAUGCCCUGGCAGUCAGAGGCGAUGAAGGACGUGCUAAUCUGCGAUAAGCGUCGGUAAGGUGAUAUGAACCGUUAUAACCGGCGAUUUCCGAAUGGGGAAACCCAGUGUGAUUCGUCACACUAUCAUUAACUGAAUCCAUAGGUUAAUGAGGCGAACCGGGGGAACUGAAACAUCUAAGUACCCCGAGGAAAAGAAAUCAACCGAGAUUCCCCCAGUAGCGGCGAGCGAACGGGGAGCAGCCCAGAGCCUGAAUCAGUGUGUGUGUUAGUGGAAGCGUCUGGAAAGGCGCGCGAUACAGGGUGACAGCCCCGUACACAAAAAUGCACAUGCUGUGAGCUCGAUGAGUAGGGCGGGACACGUGGUAUCCUGUCUGAAUAUGGGGGGACCAUCCUCCAAGGCUAAAUACUCCUGACUGACCGAUAGUGAACCAGUACCGUGAGGGAAAGGCGAAAAGAACCCCGGCGAGGGGAGUGAAAAAGAACCUGAAACCGUGUACGUACAAGCAGUGGGAGCACAGAGCAAUCUGUGUGACUGCGUACCUUUUGUAUAAUGGGUCAGCGACUUAUAUUCUGUAGCAAGGUUAACCGAAUAGGGGAGCCGAAGGGAAACCGAGUCUUAACUGGGCGUUAAGUUGCAGGGUAUAGACCCGAAACCCGGUGAUCUAGCCAUGGGCAGGUUGAAGGUUGGGUAACACUAACUGGAGGACCGAACCGACUAAUGUUGAAAAAUUAGCGGAUGACUUGUGGCUGGGGGUGAAAGGCCAAUCAAACCGGGAGAUAGCUGGUUCUCCCCGAAAGCUAUUUAGGUAGCGCCUCGUGAAUUCAUCUCCGGGGGUAGAGCACUGUUUCGGCAAGGGGGUCAUCCCGACUUACCAACCCGAUGCAAACUGCGAAUACCGGAGAAUGUUAUCACGGGAGACACACGGCGGGUGCUAACGUCCGUCGUGAAGAGGGAAACAACCCAGACCGCCAGCUAAGGUCCCAAAGUCAUGGUUAAGUGGGAAACGAUGUGGGAAGGCCCAGACAGCCAGGAUGUUGGCUUAGAAGCAGCCAUCAUUUAAAGAAAGCGUAAUAGCUCACUGGUCGAGUCGGCCUGCGCGGAAGAUGUAACGGGGCUAAACCAUGCACCGAAGCUGCGGCAGCGACGCUGAUGCGUUGUUGGGUAGGGGAGCGUUCUGUAAGCCUGCGAAGGUGUGCUGUGAGGCAUGCUGGAGGUAUCAGAAGUGCGAAUGCUGACAUAAGUAACGAUAAAGCGGGUGAAAAGCCCGCUCGCCGGAAGACCAAGGGUUCCUGUCCAACGUUAAUCGGGGCAGGGUGAGUCGACCCCUAAGGCGAGGCCGAAAGGCGUAGUCGAUGGGAAACAGGUUAAUAUUCCUGUACUUGGUGUUACUGCGAAGGGGGGACGGAGAAGGCUAUGUUGGCCGGGCGACGGUUGUCCCGGUUUAAGCGUGUAGGCUGGUUUUCCAGGCAAAUCCGGAAAAUCAAGGCUGAGGCGUGAUGACGAGGCACUACGGUGCUGAAGCAACAAAUGCCCUGCUUCCAGGAAAAGCCUCUAAGCAUCAGGUAACAUCAAAUCGUACCCCAAACCGACACAGGUGGUCAGGUAGAGAAUACCAAGGCGCUUGAGAGAACUCGGGUGAAGGAACUAGGCAAAAUGGUGCCGUAACUUCGGGAGAAGGCACGCUGAUAUGUAGGUGAAGUCCCUCGCGGAUGGAGCUGAAAUCAGUCGAAGAUACCAGCUGGCUGCAACUGUUUAUUAAAAACACAGCACUGUGCAAACACGAAAGUGGACGUAUACGGUGUGACGCCUGCCCGGUGCCGGAAGGUUAAUUGAUGGGGUCAGCGCAAGCGAAGCUCUUGAUCGAAGCCCCGGUAAACGGCGGCCGUAACUAUAACGGUCCUAAGGUAGCGAAAUUCCUUGUCGGGUAAGUUCCGACCUGCACGAAUGGCGUAAUGAUGGCCAGGCUGUCUCCACCCGAGACUCAGUGAAAUUGAACUCGCUGUGAAGAUGCAGUGUACCCGCGGCAAGACGGAAAGACCCCGUGAACCUUUACUAUAGCUUGACACUGAACAUUGAGCCUUGAUGUGUAGGAUAGGUGGGAGGCUUUGAAGUGUGGACGCCAGUCUGCAUGGAGCCGGCCUUGAAAUACCACCCUUUAAUGUUUGAUGUUCUAACGUUGACCCGUAAUCCGGGUUGCGGACAGUGUCUGGUGGGUAGUUUGACUGGGGCGGUCUCCUCCUAAAGAGUAACGGAGGAGCACGAAGGUUGGCUAAUCCUGGUCGGACAUCAGGAGGUUAGUGCAAUGGCAUAAGCCAGCUUGACUGCGAGCGUGACGGCGCGAGCAGGUGCGAAAGCAGGUCAUAGUGAUCCGGUGGUUCUGAAUGGAAGGGCCAUCGCUCAACGGAUAAAAGGUACUCCGGGGAUAACAGGCUGAUACCGCCCAAGAGUUCAUAUCGACGGCGGUGUUUGGCACCUCGAUGUCGGCUCAUCACAUCCUGGGGCUGAAGUAGGUCCCAAGGGUAUGGCUGUUCGCCAUUUAAAGUGGUACGCGAGCUGGGUUUAGAACGUCGUGAGACAGUUCGGUCCCUAUCUGCCGUGGGCGCUGGAGAACUGAGGGGGGCUGCUCCUAGUACGAGAGGACCGGAGUGGACGCAUCACUGGUGUUCGGGUUGUCAUGCCAAUGGCACUGCCCGGUAGCUAAAUGCGGAAGAGAUAAGUGCUGAAAGCAUCUAAGCACGAAACUUGCCCCGAGAUGAGUUCUCCCUGACUCCUUGAGAGUCCUGAAGGAACGUUGAAGACGACGACGUUGAUAGGCCGGGUGUGUAAGCGCAGCGAUGCGUUGAGCUAACCGGUACUAAUGAACCGUGAGGCUUAACC
Molecule: ribosomal RNA, 2895 nt
Filed under: Escherichia coli
Lineage: Bacteria; Pseudomonadati; Pseudomonadota; Gammaproteobacteria; Enterobacterales; Enterobacteriaceae
Description: bacterial LSU rRNA
Rfam family: Bacterial large subunit ribosomal RNA
Source: RNAcentral